This 238-nucleotide non-coding RNA is filed under the name Anaerobacterium chartisolvens. The record is from RNAcentral. Lineage: Bacteria; Bacillati; Bacillota; Clostridia; Eubacteriales; Oscillospiraceae.
AAAAUCCUAUCAGGUAAUACCUAGCCAGUAGCCUGUACCUAGUUCCUUGGAGCCGAAGUGGUAACACUAGGCUUAAGCGUAGGGCGGGGAGCAAACGAGCCGAAAAUGAAUGCACUGAAGCUAUUGAGCCACGAAAUAAUUAUUAAACGAAGAGGUCGAUACUAUCUUAUUGGUAGCAGACAACAUCAUAUAAAUCGGUAAGGCGAGAUUUAUAUGACUCUUCCGGGGUCUGAGGGCU